GUGGGGAAUCUUGCGCAAUGGGCGAAAGCCUGACGCAGCCAUGCCGCGUGAAUGAUGAAGGUCUUAGGAUUGUAAAAUUCUUUCACCGGGGACGAUAAUGACGGUACCCGGAGAAGAAGCUCCGGCUAACUUCGUGCCAGCAGCCGCGGUAAUACGAAGGGGGCUAGCGUUGCUCGGAAUUACUGGGCGUAAAGGGCGCGUAGGCGGACAGUUUAGUCAGAGGUGAAAGCCCAGGGCUCAACCUUGGAAUUGCCUUUGAUACUGGCUGUCUUGAGUACGGGAGAGGUGAGUGGAACUCCGAGUGUAGAGGUGAAAUUCGUAGAUAUUCGGAAGAACACCAGUGGCGAAGGCGACUCACUGGCCCGUUACUGACGCUGAGGCGCGAAAGCGUGGGGAGCAAACAGGAUUAGAUACCCCGGUAGUCC
Molecule: ribosomal RNA, 425 nt
Filed under: uncultured bacterium
Lineage: Bacteria
Description: partial 16S ribosomal RNA
Rfam family: Bacterial small subunit ribosomal RNA
Source: RNAcentral